This 441-nucleotide ribosomal RNA is filed under the name soil bacterium 9V-16. RNAcentral's name for it is "bacterial SSU rRNA". It matches the Rfam family "Bacterial small subunit ribosomal RNA", at positions 24 to 480 of the family's 1533-position model. The record is from RNAcentral.
UCAGGAUGAACGCUGGCGGCGUGCUUAACACAUGCAAGUCGAACGAUGAUCCCAGCUUGCUGGGGGAUUAGUGGCGAACGGGUGAGUAACACGUGAGUAACCUGCCCUUGACUCUGGGAUAAGCCUGGGAAACUGGGUCUAAUACCGGAUAUGACUCCUCAUCGCAUGGUGGGGGGUGGAAAGCUUUUGUGGUUUUGGAUGGACUCGCGGCCUAUCAGCUUGUUGGUGGGGUAAUGGCCUACCAAGGCGACGACGGGUAGCCGGCCUGAGAGGGUGACCGGCCACACUGGGACUGAGACACGGCCCAGACUCCUACGGGAGGCAGCAGUGGGGAAUAUUGCACAAUGGGCGCAAGCCUGAUGCAGCGACGCCGCGUGAGGGAUGACGGCCUUCGGGUUGUAAACCUCUUUCAGUAGGGAAGAAGCGUAAGUGACGGUACCU